Molecule: ribosomal RNA, 460 nt
Filed under: uncultured bacterium
Lineage: Bacteria
Description: partial 16S ribosomal RNA
Rfam family: Bacterial small subunit ribosomal RNA
Source: RNAcentral
CCUACGGGAUGCUGCAGUGAGGAAUAUUGGUCAAUGGACGAGAGUCUGAACCAGCCAAGUAGCGUGAAGGAUGACUGCCCUAUGGGUUGUAAACUUCUUUUAUAUGGGAAUAAAAUGUUCCACGUGUGGGAUUUUGUAUGUACCAUAUGAAUAAGGAUCGGCUAACUCCGUGCCAGCAGCCGCGGUAAUACGGAGGAUCCGAGCGUUCUCCGGAUUUAUUGGGUUUAAAGGGAGCGUAGGUGGAUUGUUAAGUCAGUUGUGAAAGUUUGCGGCUCAACCGUAAAAUUGCAGUUGAAACUGGCAGUCUUGAGUACAGUAGAGGUGGGCGGAAUUCGUGGUGUAGCGGUGAAAUGCUUAGAUAUCACGAAGAACUCCGAUUGCGAAGGCAGUUCACUGGACUGCAACUGACACUGAGGCUCGAAAGUGUGGGUAUCAAACAGGAUUAGAUACCCGGGUAGUC